RNAcentral lists this microRNA precursor (192 nucleotides) under Oryza meridionalis. RNAcentral describes it as "MIR812 microRNA precursor family". It matches the Rfam family "MIR812 microRNA precursor family". Lineage: Eukaryota; Viridiplantae; Streptophyta; Magnoliopsida; Poales; Poaceae. The record is from Rfam by way of RNAcentral.
UUUAAGUGCAAUUAUAAGAUUUUGUGUCCAACAUUAGACCAUCUGUCUUAUAUAAAAAAAUAUGAUUUUUUUUUAAAAAGUCACGCAUAAAUUAUGUUUUAUCUAUAAUAAAAAUAAAAGUAUUAAUAAAAAAAUUAAAUAAGAUGGAUGUUUAAACGUCGUUGUACAAAGAAACACACUGCUGCAUUUAGA